RNAcentral lists this transfer RNA (75 nucleotides) under Christensenellaceae bacterium. RNAcentral describes it as "tRNA-Trp". It matches the Rfam family "tRNA". From Rfam's summary of the family: Transfer RNA (tRNA) molecules are approximately 80 nucleotides in length. The record is from RNAcentral. Lineage: Bacteria; Bacillati; Bacillota; Clostridia; Christensenellales; Christensenellaceae.
AGGGAAGUGGCUCAACGGUAGAGCAGCGGUCUCCAAAACCGCCGGUUGCACGUUCGAAUCGUGUCUUCCCUGCCA